Molecule: ribosomal RNA, 497 nt
Filed under: uncultured bacterium
Lineage: Bacteria
Description: partial 16S ribosomal RNA
Rfam family: Bacterial small subunit ribosomal RNA
Source: RNAcentral
GAUGAACGCUGGCGGCGUGCCUAAUACAUGCAAGUCGAGCGAACAGACGAGGAGCUUGCUCCUCUGACGUUAGCGGCGGACGGGUGAGUAACACGUGGAUAACCUACCUAUAAGACUGGGAUAACUUCGGGAAACCGGAGCUAAUACCGGAUAAUAUAUUGAACCGCAUGGUUCAAUAGUGAAAGACGGUUUUGCUGUCACUUAUAGAUGGAUCCGCGCCGCAUUAGCUAGUUGGUAAGGUAACGGCUUACCAAGGCAACGAUGCGUAGCCGACCUGAGAGGGUGAUCGGCCACACUGGAACUGAGACACGUUCCAGACUCCUACGGGAGGCAGCAGUAGGGAAUCUUCCGCAAUGGGCGAAAGCUUGACGUAGCAACGCCGCGUGAGUGAUGAAGGUCUUCGGAUCGUAAAACUCUGUUAUUAGGGAAGAACAAAUGUGUAAGUAACUAUGCACGUCUUGACGGUACCUAAUCAGAAAGCCACGGCUAACUACGUG